GCAUCCAUGGUUGAAUGGUCAAAGCACCCACCUCAUAAUUGGCGAAUUUGUAGGUUCAAUUCCUAGUGGAUGCA
Non-coding RNA from Solanum tuberosum (potato), 74 nucleotides. The record is from Rfam. NCBI's taxonomy places the organism in Eukaryota, Viridiplantae, Streptophyta, Magnoliopsida, Solanales, Solanaceae.